CCUACGGGAGGCAGCAGUGAGGAAUAUUGGUCAAUGGGCGAGAGCCUGAUGCAGCGAAGUCGCGUGAAGGAUGAAGGCCCUACGGGUUGUAAACUUCGUUUGUCAGGGAGAAAUUGGGUACACGCGUGGGCUUAGAGAGAGUACCUGAAGUAAAAGCAUCGGCUAACUCCUUGCCAGCAGCCGCGGUAGUACGGAGGAUGCGAGCGGUAUUUGGAUUUAUUGGGUUUAAAGGGUGCGUAGGCGGAAUAUCAAGUCAGCGGUAAAAAUACGGGGCUCAACCCCGUCGCGCCGUUGAAACUGAUGAUCUGGAGUGAGCGAGAGGUAAGCGGAAUUCGUGGUGAAGCGGUGAAAUGCAUAGAUA
RNAcentral lists this ribosomal RNA (361 nucleotides) under uncultured bacterium. Its description in RNAcentral is "partial 16S ribosomal RNA". It matches the Rfam family "Bacterial small subunit ribosomal RNA", at positions 338 to 696 of the family's 1533-position model. The record is from RNAcentral.